RNAcentral lists this ribosomal RNA (253 nucleotides) under uncultured Bacteroidales bacterium. RNAcentral describes it as "partial 16S ribosomal RNA". It matches the Rfam family "Bacterial small subunit ribosomal RNA", at positions 524 to 776 of the family's 1533-position model. Lineage: Bacteria; Pseudomonadati; Bacteroidota; Bacteroidia; Bacteroidales. The record is from RNAcentral.
UACGGAGGAUGCGAGCGUUAUCCGGAUUUAUUGGGUUUAAAGGGUGCGUAGGUUGUUUUUUAAGUCAGCGGUGAAAGUUUGUGGCUCAACCAUAAAAUUGCCGUUGAAACUGCAUCCCUUGAGUGCGCGAGAAGUAUGCGGAAUGCGUGGUGUAGCGGUGAAAUGCAUAGAUAUCACGCAGAACCCCGAUUGCGAAGGCAGCAUACCGGUGCACAACUGACGCUCAGGCACGAAAGCGUGGGUAUCGAACAGG